This 1372-nucleotide ribosomal RNA is filed under the name uncultured bacterium. RNAcentral's name for it is "bacterial SSU rRNA". It matches the Rfam family "Bacterial small subunit ribosomal RNA", at positions 28 to 1381 of the family's 1533-position model. The record is from RNAcentral.
GAUGAACGCUGGCGGCGUGCCUAAUACAUGCAAGUCGAGCGAACGGACGAGAAGCUUGCUUCUCUGAUGUUAGCGGCGGACGGGUGAGUAACACGUGGAUAACCUACCUAUAAGACUGGGAUAACUUCGGGAAACCGGAGCUAAUACCGGAUAAUAUUUUGAACCGCAUGGUUCAAAAGUAAAAGACGGUCUUGCUGUCACUUAUAGAUGGAUCCGCGCUGCAUUAGCUAGUUGGUAAGGUAACGGCUUACCAAGGCAACGAUGCAUAGCCGACCUGAGAGGGUGAUCGGCCACACUGGAACUGAGACACGGUCCAGACUCCUACGGGAGGCAGCAGUAGGGAAUCUUCCGCAAUGGGCGAAAGCCUGACGGAGCAACGCCGCGUGAGUGAUGAAGGUCUUCGGAUCGUAAAACUCUGUUAUUAGGGAAGAAUAUAUGUGUAAGUAACUGUGCACAUCUUGACGGUACCUAAUCAGAAAGCCACGGCUAACUACGUGCCAGCAGCCGCGGUAAUACGUAGGUGGCAAGCGUUAUCCGGAAUUAUUGGGCGUAAAGCGCGCGUAGGCGGUUUUUUAAGUCUGAUGUGAAAGCCCACGGCUCAACCGUGGAGGGUCAUUGGAAACUGGAAAACUUGAGUGCAGAAGGGGAAAGUGGAAUUCCAUGUGUAGCGGUGAAAUGCGCAGAGAUAUGGAGGAACACCAGUGGCGAAGGCGACUUUCUGGUCUGUAACUGACGCUGAUGUGCGAAAGCGUGGGGAUCAAACAGGAUUAGAUACCCUGGUAGUCCACGCCGUAAACGAUGAGUGCUAAGUGUUAGGGGGUUUCCGCCCCUUAGUGCUGCAGCUAACGCAUUAAGCACUCCGCCUGGGGAGUACGACCGCAAGGUUGAAACUCAAAGGAAUUGACGGGGACCCGCACAAGCGGUGGAGCAUGUGGUUUAAUUCGAAGCAACGCGAAGAACCUUACCAAAUCUUGACAUCCUUUGACAACUCUAGAGAUAGAGCCUUCCCCUUCGGGGGACAAAGUGACAGGUGGUGCAUGGUUGUCGUCAGCUCGUGUCGUGAGAUGUUGGGUUAAGUCCCGCAACGAGCGCAACCCUUAAGCUUAGUUGCCAUCAUUAAGUUGGGCACUCUAAGUUGACUGCCGGUGACAAACCGGAGGAAGGUGGGGAUGACGUCAAAUCAUCAUGCCCCUUAUGAUUUGGGCUACACACGUGCUACAAUGGACAAUACAAAGGGCAGCGAAACCGCGAGGUCAAGCAAAUCCCAUAAAGUUGUUCUCAGUUCGGAUUGUAGUCUGCAACUCGACUACAUGAAGCUGGAAUCGCUAGUAAUCGUAGAUCAGCAUGCUACGGUGAAUACGUUCCCGGGUCU